GAACCACAAGUCUGACAAGAACUUAGGGGAUUCCAUCCUGUGUUUAAGAUAGCUAGGCUGCUGGACCUGACCUGAGAGCAUGACAGGUUGAGAAGAACAAUCCACUGCAACGGCACUUUCCAUGUUGGCCUUGUUCGAAGCCUCAUAUAUAGUGACCAACCAAAUUGACCAAAAAAGAAAGCAAAUCACUUGCAGAGCGUGACAAGGGGUUACAUUUUGCAAACUAUGAAGAACGGGACACAGCUCAGAGUUCAUUGGAAAAUGUACAAAAAGUAUUAAAAACAGUCAUAUCGAUCUAUACAAAAC
Molecule: long non-coding RNA, 306 nt
Filed under: Setaria viridis
Lineage: Eukaryota; Viridiplantae; Streptophyta; Magnoliopsida; Poales; Poaceae
Description: long non-coding RNA (SVIR_LNC002144)
Source: RNAcentral